AGUAGACCUCCUUCUAAAAUAAUACACUACCUACGAGCAUACUAAUUUUUGAAGGUCUUCAGACUUCGGGAACCCUCCGCAACGUACGCAUUUUCAAAACUAAUAGGAUGCUUUGAUCGAUAAUAAUACAAAUCUAUCAGCGGCAUGUACCAAAUGUUUUACCUAUAUAAUAUCACGUUCUAAGGUAUGGCGAUAUUGAAUAUAAUGAGUGAAGGAUGUAAAUUUUUAUUGUAUGUUUAUCUGCAUACCCCUUUGUAUCGAACUUCCUAUGACAUCGUUUGUCAUAGCUGUGCAAUCUGUACAGGUUUCCUAUCUAAAUGGAUAGCAAUAAAUAAAACUCCUCCUCGAAACCGUUCGAUAGUCAGUUGCGAAGAAAAUGGAGGCUCAAGGUGCGGCCAUCAUCUUUGGCCCAUUGCAGACGGCCUAUGAACGAGAACUCCGAACAUAUCUCAAACAAAAAUAUGGAUCUGUAAGUACUUUUCAUGCAUCAUACCGUAUUUUAAUUAGCUCUUAUUUAGGAAAAUGUUGCUAUUUUACGGGGUCGGGGGGUAAUCCCUGACUCCGUAAAGAUAGAGGAAGGUAGCUUCCUGGGGCGGAGGUUCCAGGUCUUUAAGGACCUGGAACUACAAAACACGUACUGGGUGUUUUAUAUCGAGAAAUGUGCAAUCAUUUUUGCGAGGAGUCGAGGUAAACUAUACGUUUUAACCGUAUAUUUGUAGAACAAGAAACUACUAUUAUUUUCGGCGGGAUAAACCCAGCGAGAACGGAGCGGGGGAUUUCCAAUUAUGAAUAACAAUGCUGUCAUUAAAAUGGGCGUUGCUGACGUCGAGGCUCUCUUCGACGCAAAUUUUAUGUAAGUAGAGUAAGCGCUUUAAUUGUAAUAAUAAACUUCAAAUCACUAUUUCCGCUGUAAAUAAAAACACCCUACAUUUUGUUUGUUGUUUUUUCCCUGCCCACUCCUGUUCUGGUUAUAGGGAACCUACCUCCGAUAUGGAAUUAUAGGUAAGAAUGAGGGUCCUCGCACCUGUCUCCUGAAAUUACAAUUUCCUACCCUAGUCGCAUCAAUCUAAUAGAGGGAGUCGGAUGAAAAUAUACCUCUAUAUGCAUUACGACGCCAAUAGAUGGCGCCUCCGUAUCAAAUCGCUAUUUCAGCUCUAAAUAAAAACGCUCUACAUUUUGUUUUUGUUGUUUUAUUUCCCUCCCCGCCCCUGUUCUGGUUGUAGGUUAGAAUGGGGCCCCCUUGUGUAUGUCUCUCAAAUGGGGGAGCUACCUCCGAGAUGGAAUGAUAGGUUAGAAUUCUCCUCCCUUGCAUCUCUCUCCUGAACCACUGGAUAGUUCACAUGUUUGCUAUUGUACAAAUGUAUACACGGCCGACUUUAUUCGUAAAUUUCUAACGCAAGAAGUCAAAAUUGCAGUUUCCUAUACGUUAGAUGCGUAUCAUUUUGACGCCACCAAAUAGCCCCUAGCCCCUAUCGGGUUUUUUCCCUGCCCACUCCUGUUCUAGUUAUAGGGAACCUACCUCCGAGAUGGAAUUAUAGGUUAGAAUGAGGGUCCUCGCACCUGUCUCCUGAAAUUACAAUUUCCUACCCUAUACCUAUAUGUCACAUCAAUCUAAUAGAGGGAGUCGGUUGAAAAUAUACCUCUAUAUGCAUUACGACGCCAAUAGAUGGCACCUCCGUACCAUUUAAUAUAUCUAUGAUUUAAUAAUAUUUAGAGGUUCGUUAUAAAUACAACUAUCGAAGCAUUAUAUCAUACAAGUCUAGUUAGCCUAGUGGUUAUGCUAUAGGACUUGUAAUCCGAUGGUUGGCGGUUCGAAUCCGUUCCAUUUAAAAAAAUUUUCAGGAGGUUCGAUAUAAAUACAACUAUCCAAGCAUUAUAUCAUACAAGUCUAAUUAGCUCAGUGGUUAUGCUAUAGGACUUGUAAUCCAAUGGUUGGCGGUUCGAAUCCGUUCCAUUUAA
Photinus pyralis (common eastern firefly) is the source of this 1959-nucleotide RNA transcript. RefSeq lists it as uncharacterized. The record is from RefSeq and is a predicted model, not a curated record. The transcript has 5 exons. NCBI's taxonomy places the organism in Eukaryota, Metazoa, Arthropoda, Insecta, Coleoptera, Lampyridae.